This 497-nucleotide ribosomal RNA is filed under the name uncultured bacterium. Its description in RNAcentral is "partial 16S ribosomal RNA". It matches the Rfam family "Bacterial small subunit ribosomal RNA", at positions 28 to 507 of the family's 1533-position model. The record is from RNAcentral.
GAUGAACGCUGGCGGCGUGCCUAAUACAUGCAAGUCGAGCGAACGGACGAGAGGCUUGCUUCUCUGAUGUUAGCGGCGGACGGGUGAGUAACACGUGGAUAACCCACCUAUAAGACUGGGAUAACUUCGGGAAACCGGAGCUAAUACCGGAUGAUAUUUUGAACCGCAUGGUUCAAAAGUGAAAGACGGUCUUGCUUUCACUUAUAGAUGGAUCCGCGCUGCAUUAGCUAGUUGGUAAGGUAACGGCUUACCAAGGCAACGAUGCAUAGCCGACCUGAGAGGGUGAUCGGCCACACUGGAACUGAGACACGGUCCAGACUCCUACGGGAGGCAGCAGUAGGGAAUCUUCCGCAAUGGGCGAAAGCCUGACGGAGCAACGCCGCGUGAGUGAUGAAGGUCUUCGGAUCGUAAAACUCUGUUAUUAGGGAAGAACAUAUGUGUAAGUAACUGUGCACAUCUUGACGGUACCUAAUCAGAAAGCCACGGCUAACUACGUG